This 72-nucleotide transfer RNA is filed under the name Bos taurus (domestic cattle). It matches the Rfam family "tRNA". Rfam says of the family: Transfer RNA (tRNA) molecules are approximately 80 nucleotides in length. Their secondary structure includes four short double-helical elements and three loops (D, anti-codon, and T loops). The record is from Rfam by way of RNAcentral. Lineage: Eukaryota; Metazoa; Chordata; Mammalia; Artiodactyla; Bovidae. RNAcentral also lists the same sequence under 4 other names.
UCCCUCAUAGCUCAGUUGGUAAAGAGUCUGCCUGCCAUGCGGGAGACCUGGGUUCGAUUCCUGGGGUGGGAA